AAACCUAAAAGGGGAGGCUUUUCCACAUUUUUUUUCCUUUUGCCGUUUUUGCUUUUGCAUAGUUUCUUUUCCAGUAGCUUAGUCAUUGUUUAUUACGAGUUCUACACUGCUCCCCUUGCAAUUUCCCAUUUCCUUUUUAGCAUUUAGUUAAUUCUUUUCGCACAAUAGUUUCUGCAACGGAAACUAUUGUGCACCUUUUUACCGAAUCUAACCUUACGUUAGGAUCUAGUUUAUUUCCUUCGUUUUAAUUUGUUGUUUA
RNAcentral lists this long non-coding RNA (259 nucleotides) under Lathyrus oleraceus (garden pea). RNAcentral describes it as "Pisum sativum (pea) long non-coding RNA (PSAT_LNC022909)". The record is from RNAcentral. Lineage: Eukaryota; Viridiplantae; Streptophyta; Magnoliopsida; Fabales; Fabaceae.